This 420-nucleotide ribosomal RNA is filed under the name uncultured bacterium. RNAcentral describes it as "bacterial SSU rRNA". It matches the Rfam family "Bacterial small subunit ribosomal RNA", at positions 355 to 772 of the family's 1533-position model. The record is from RNAcentral.
UAAGGAAUAUUGGACAAUGGAGGCAACUCUGAUCCAGCCAUGCCGCGUGAAGGAAUAAGGCCCUAUGGGUUGUAAACUUCUUUUAGACGGGACAAAACCCCUUUACGUGUAAAGGGUUGAUGGUACUGUCAGAAUAAGCAUCGGCUAACUUCGUGCCAGCAGCCGCGGUAAUACGAAGGAUGCAAGCGUUAUCCGGAAUUAUUGGGUUUAAAGGGUGCGUAGGCGGACUAAUAAGUCAGUGGUGAAAGCCUGCAGCUUAACUGCAGAAUUGCCAUUGAUACUGUUAGUCUUGAGUACAGUUGAGGUAGGCGGAAUGUGUCAUGUAGCGGUGAAAUGCUUAGAUAUGACACAGAACACCGAUUGCGAAGGCAGCUUGCUAAGCUGUAACUGACGCUGAGGCACGAAAGCGUAGGGAGCAAA